Biomphalaria glabrata is the source of this 874-nucleotide long non-coding RNA. RefSeq lists it as uncharacterized. NCBI's taxonomy places the organism in Eukaryota, Metazoa, Mollusca, Gastropoda, Planorbidae. The record is from RefSeq and is a predicted model, not a curated record. The transcript has 3 exons.
UACAAUAACUCCAUUUAAGUCACACAUUCGUGGAACCUAGGUGGGUGGAACCUGCACACAUAUCUCAAAAACGGCUCACACGAAUUUCCUAGAAAUUUAACAGUUGAUGUAUAUCGCUGAGAAAAAAAUACUUGACGGCAACACUGGGAAAACUCGAGUUUGACCGUUAUAGUUUUACAAAGUAAAAAAAAAAGAAAGAAAUUCAUUAAUUUUUAAAUUUGACUAGUUUAGAUUUAGAUCCACCAUCGUGUUCGGGAAUUUCCGAAUAUAAUAUAUUAUUGAUUCAAGAGUUUAAUAAAUUAAAGAAUAAUUUUACGCACCGUCUGCUAAUGACAUCAAGUUUUAAUGACGGGAUAAACCUCCUUUCCAUUGUAAUCUACCUCUAUGUGAAUAUAUUAACAAGUGUUUUUAAGUUUUCUUUGAGUUUCAUUUAUUACUACAAAAAGUAUUAUCUACCUAAAUUGAAAGCUACACUUAUCAUUAAUAUUCGGACUUGAAGAAAAGCCUUAUUAUAGGGUAGGAAAGGGAGAGUCAGUGGGCUGGACGUAAUCACAAGAACUGAAGGUGAACUGAUAGUAAGCAACAUCUCUGUCAUAGCAACAUCUCUGUCAUAGCAACAUCUCUGUCAUAGCAACAUCUCUGUCAUAAGCAACAUCUCUGUCAUAGCAACAUCUCUGUCAUAGCAACAUCUCUGUCAUAGCAACAUCUUUGUCAUAGCAACAUCUCUGUCAUAGCAACAUCUCUGUCAUAGCAACAUCUCUGUCAUAGCAACAUCUCUGUCAUAAGCAACAUCUCUGUCAUAGCAACAUCUCUGUCAUAGCAACAUCUCUGUCAUAGCAACAUCUCUGUCAUGUCCUGUGUAUUCCCAAUAAAG